This 460-nucleotide ribosomal RNA is filed under the name uncultured bacterium. Its description in RNAcentral is "partial 16S ribosomal RNA". It matches the Rfam family "Bacterial small subunit ribosomal RNA", at positions 338 to 795 of the family's 1533-position model. The record is from RNAcentral.
CCUACGGGAGACAGCAGUGAGGAAUAUUGGUCAAUGGGCGGAAGCCUGAACCAGCCAAGUCGCGUGAGGGAUUAAGGCCCUGCGGGUCGUAAACCUCUUUUGCCGGGGAGCAGAGGUCCGGACGUGUCCGGGCCGGGAGAGUACCCGGUGAAAAAGCAUCGGCUAACUCCGUGCCAGCAGCCGCGGUAAUACGGAGGAUGCUAGCGUUAUCCGGAUUUAUUGGGUUUAAGGGGUGCGUAGGCGGGCAUUUAAGCCGGCGGUCAAAUGUCGGGGCUCAACCCCGGCCUGCCGUCGGAACUGGGUGCCUUGAGUGGGCGAGAAGUAAGCGGAAUGCGAGGUGGAGCGGUGAAAUGCAUAGAUAUCACGCAGAACCCCGAUUGCGAAGGCAGCAUACCGGCGCCCUACUGACGCUGAGGCACGAAAGUGCGGGUAUCGAACAGGAUUAGAUACCCCGGUAGUC